Molecule: transfer RNA, 378 nt
Filed under: Microcystis sp. AICB823
Lineage: Bacteria; Bacillati; Cyanobacteriota; Cyanophyceae; Chroococcales; Microcystaceae
Description: partial 16S-23S ribosomal RNA intergenic spacer
Rfam family: tRNA (bases 136-209)
Source: RNAcentral
AAAGGGAGACCUAAUUCAGGUAGGAGACGGAAAAAAGGUAGUCGCUACCAAGAAUCAAUCCCAAAAGGUCGGAGCGAGGUUAAACUGGCUUUCAAACUAGGUUCUGGGUUCAAACGGGACCUGAAUCRGGAACAAGGGCUAUUAGCUCAGAUGGUUAGAGCGCACCCCUGAUAAGGGUGAGGUCCCUGGUUCGAGUCCAGGGUGGCCCACCUGCACAGGUGGCAAAAAUUAGAGAAGCGGGGGAUCAGCACCUUAUCUUAUUUACAUAGUAAGAGAGAAUGCUGGCUUUGAGUWWAGAGUCCAGAGGAACCUUGAAAACUGCAUAGAGCUAGGUGAAAAAGCCAAAAAAGAAAACCGCAAGGUCAAGUUAAUAAGGCA